UGCAUUGUUUCACACGUACUCAGGUCACUUUCAGCAAACAUAAGAUGACAUCCCAGAAAGAUCUAAAAACCUAACAGGAAGACAGAAAAGUACAGUGGUGCUAAUUCGGUGCUAAUACAAUGUAGAUGUUCUGAGGCAGUGCUGGUUCCCAUGUACUGCUGGAUCAACUCAAAUUCCAGCAGCAGUUCAGCUGACAGAAGCUUUCAUGCAUAAUGAAAGUUACAAAUGGAUCAGUUCUGCGGAUGACAAAAACUGUGUUUGGACGCUGCAGGAGUGUUGGACACAGAUGAUUAACUAUCCUAAUUGA
This 307-nucleotide long non-coding RNA is filed under the name Anas platyrhynchos platyrhynchos (common mallard). Its description in RNAcentral is "lncRNA (ENSAPLG00000025938.1)". Lineage: Eukaryota; Metazoa; Chordata; Aves; Anseriformes; Anatidae. The record is from RNAcentral.